UCUUAUGUACAUGCCUACAACGUUAAUGCAUCAGAUCCCAUCAAAAAUCUGUAGUUAAGCGUGCUUGGGUUAGAGUAGUACUGGGAUGGGUGACCUCCAGAGACAUCUUAGCGUUUUACAUGCC
Non-coding RNA from Picea glauca (white spruce), 124 nucleotides. The record is from Rfam. NCBI's taxonomy places the organism in Eukaryota, Viridiplantae, Streptophyta, Pinopsida, Pinales, Pinaceae.